UUUUUUUUCAGGGAGAAAACACCGGUUUUAACACAGUCCGGGAAUGACGGUACCUGAAGAAUAAGCACCGGCUAACUACGUGCCAGCAGCCGCGGUAAUACGUAGGGUGCGAGCGUUAAUCGGAAUUACUGGGCGUAAAGCGUGCGCAGGCGGUUAUACAAGACAGGCGUGAAAUCCCCGGGCUUAACCUGGGAAUGGCGCCUGUGACUGUAUAGCUAGAGUGUGUCAGAGGGGGGUAGAAUUCCACGUGUAGCAGUGAAAUGCGUAGAUAUGUGGAGGAAUACCAAUGGCGAAGGCAGCCCCCUGGGAUAACACUGACGCUCAUGCACGAAAGCGUGGGGAGCAAACAGGAUUAGAUACCCUGGUAGUCCACGCCCUAAACGAUG
RNAcentral lists this ribosomal RNA (386 nucleotides) under uncultured Polynucleobacter sp. RNAcentral describes it as "bacterial SSU rRNA". It matches the Rfam family "Bacterial small subunit ribosomal RNA", at positions 432 to 811 of the family's 1533-position model. The record is from RNAcentral. Lineage: Bacteria; Pseudomonadati; Pseudomonadota; Betaproteobacteria; Burkholderiales; Burkholderiaceae.